This 72-nucleotide transfer RNA is filed under the name Marmota monax (woodchuck). RNAcentral describes it as "tRNA.Ala". The record is from RNAcentral. Lineage: Eukaryota; Metazoa; Chordata; Mammalia; Rodentia; Sciuridae.
UUGGGUGUAGGUCAGUGGUAGAGCACUUACAUAGCAUGAGUGAAGUCCUGGGUUCAAUCCUCAGCACCAAAA